This 497-nucleotide ribosomal RNA is filed under the name uncultured bacterium. RNAcentral describes it as "partial 16S ribosomal RNA". It matches the Rfam family "Bacterial small subunit ribosomal RNA", at positions 28 to 507 of the family's 1533-position model. The record is from RNAcentral.
GACGAACGCUGGCGGCGUGCCUAAUACAUGCAAGUAGAACGCUGAAGAGAGGAGCUUGCUCUUCUUGGAUGAGUUGCGAACGGGUGAGUAACGCGUAGGUAACCUGCCUUGUAGCGGGGGAUAACUAUUGGAAACGAUAGCUAAUACCGCAUAACAAUGGAUGACACAUGUCAUUUAUUUGAAAGGGGCAAUUGCUCCACUACAAGAUGGACCUGCGUUGUAUUAGCUAGUAGGUGAGGUAAUGGCUCACCUAGGCGACGAUACAUAGCCGACCUGAGAGGGUGAUCGGCCACACUGGGACUGAGACACGGCCCAGACUCCUACGGGAGGCAGCAGUAGGGAAUCUUCGGCAAUGGGGGCAACCCUGACCGAGCAACGCCGCGUGAGUGAAGAAGGUUUUCGGAUCGUAAAGCUCUGUUGUAAGUCAAGAACGGGGGUGAGAGUGGAAAGUUCACACUGUGACGGUAGCUUACCAGAAAGGGACGGCUAACUACGUG